This is a non-coding RNA of Zonotrichia albicollis (white-throated sparrow), 3113 nucleotides long. NCBI's taxonomy places the organism in Eukaryota, Metazoa, Chordata, Aves, Passeriformes, Passerellidae. The record is from RefSeq and is a predicted model, not a curated record.
GAGCAGGAUGCGGCGCUCACAGCCGGCAGGAGCAGGGACUCCUCCAGGGCAGGAAUUCAGAGCUGUUGGGUCGCUUUCUGCGGAGUCUCACCCCAUUCGCUCCCAGCUGAUAACUCAGCAGGAUGCUGAAGUUUAACCUGAUUUCCAGCCACCAAAUCAACGUUUGAAUGCAAGCCUGACUUGAACAGACAGAAGAUAAUUGCGUUUAAUAAGCACGUGUGAAAUGAGAUGUUGGAGGCUCUGUGGUGAGAACACAAACAGACCCUUGAGAGAACAAUGGCAGAAUUGAGCGAUAACUGCACCCUCCCAUCCGCAGCUCUGCCACUCAUCUCUGCAGAGGAAAGGAAGUGGCAUCAAACUGUCCUUUCAAAAUGAGUCUGCGUUUAUGAUUCAGCGCUGUGCAGCAGCCCCAGGGCCAGCCCAGUCUUUCAGCUCCUAGUGGAGUGACUCCAUCAGAAUACCCAGUGCUGAACUCCUUUGCAUGUGUGCAUGAAGGCAGAAAGCACAUUGAUUUUCCUCCCAAGGAUAAGGGAAACAAAGGUCAGAGCUGCUCACACUCUAAUUUAUGCAAGAUUAAUGCAGAGAAUACAGCAGAGUUCACUUAAUGAAGGUGAAACAUGCAGAUGAGUGAAGAAGUAUCAGUUUCAGUUUUGAUUGCCCAGCUGAAAGAAUAUAAAAUAAUACAAUAAUGUAAAAUAUCUUUAAAAAGAAUUCCUGAUUUAGAGGUAAGCAGUAGUGUGCAAUCCUGUUUUGAGCUGGAAACAGGGAGCUCAGGCCUCGUUUCCCUCUGCUCAGCCUUUGGAAUAUCCUGCAUUUUCUGCUUCCACAUUGUGGAAAGCUGGGCACCGUUCUGUCAUUGGUGAGGCUGCACUGGUGGGACGAGGCUGUCUCACAGAAAUAUUCCUGUGCUAAUGCUCUCGUGGCUGCUGGAGCAAAUCCAGAGGUUUGUGUUAAUCAGCGUCUGCAGUCCUUAAAAAGAAAAAAAUUGCUGAUGAGCUCAGAAUGAUAAGAAAUGUCUGGCGUCUGCAGCAAAGUGCCUGGAGUGAGGAGUCUUCUCUCCACGGAUUGACCUUCUGGAGCUUCAAUUGUGCAUUUGCACUCACACCCAGCAGUGCUCUGCAGCUCAGGAUUGUGUUGUCAGCUGCCUUUAACUCUCCCUUUUGGUCUCUCUUUGCUUGCAGAGCUUUUCCUUAGCACAGUGACAGGGACACAGAGCAGACAAGUCAAAGCACAGGGAGAAAAAAGAACUUUGGUGUUACUGCAGCAGGAAAAAGCCACUGCCAGUGUCUGUGUGGAGCACUCCCAUUUGUACAGUCUGCUGUUGAAAAUGAAGCUCUGCUCUUUGGGAGGGAUUUAUUGUCCCUAAAUGGACAGGUAUGGAUUUACUGUGGCUUUGAGAGGCUAAAAUGAGUUUUGCUGCUGUGCAUUCCCAGGUGUGGCUCUGUGUCUCCUCUUGCUUGGUGACCUGCCCCAAAUCCAGGUCCUGUUCCGUCACCUCCUCCUGAGCCUCUCCCGUUAUUAUUGAUGGGCAACAAGCACACAAAAGUUCAGCCGUAAUUUCUCUCCUUAAAACCGGAAUGGAGGCUUUGGAAACAGCUUCAUUUUCAGCAAUGUGCUGCAACUUGCACUCCAAGCAGAAAUAAAAACGCCCAUUUCACUCUGUAACUGACUUUAAUCUCCAAAUUUGGCACGCUAGCUCCUCAGAGGUUAACUGAAUUUUCAGCCCACCAAACAGAAGUCCUUAAAAUGUUUACUGGAGUUCUGCUCAGAUUUUCUCAUGUUUCAUGGAUUUUCUGAACUAGUUCAGCCCGAUGUCAAGUUUUAAACAGCUGCCAGGCAUCUGAGAGACAGAAAACUCCUGAACAUGCAGCAGGAGCUCUGCAUUCAUCAGGAUCUGCAUUUCUGAGGAAUUCAGCAGCGUUCCCUGGGAUGGUGGUGCCUUGCUUUGGCUCUCCAGCUGCUCCCCAGUGGAUGGAAAUGCUCCUGUGUGAGGAUGAGAGGCAGCGCUCCCAGAACACUGAGGAACAACAGGGGGCUGCACACAGAAAGGAGAUUUCAUCAUCUUCCAUCUGCAGCCCUUUAAUAUCAAGAGACUUCCACAAAACUUGAAAUGAGUCUUUGAAAUGUUCCGUGCUGUGGAGGUAGAAAGCUCUCAGCAAAUCCAGUGCUGGUGAGGUUCUUGUCCAGAGGAGGUUUGGACAUCCAGCAUUCCUUGGUGGCCUUUGUCCUUUAUCCUGAGCUCAAAUUGAAGUGGGGAAGGCUCAGCCCAAGCUUGCUGUGCUGUUAUGGCUUGGAAGAUUUGGAAAAAAUACUAACAAUUUGGGAAAACAUAUAAAACAUUUAUGAUGAAAACGAUGAGAUUUGCUGCACACUUCUCUCUGCAGCUUUGCAGUGAUAAAUUCAAUAGAAUUGUUACUGCAAUUAUAUAUCAGGACACACAAAGUUUAUGCUUGCACAUAAAUAUGAGAUGAACUGUCCUGCCAAGCACUUUAAGUAGCAGCUGAUGUUUCAUUAUGUCCCUGAUUUACACCAACAAGGUAAGAUAUUUACAGUUAACUAACUCUGUAAAUAAUUUUGUCCUCUGAGAUACCUCGAUGUGAAAUAUGGUCAGGAAUGAACAACAAAACAAAGGGUUUGGAUUCAACAUAUUCUUUUAUUAGGAGCAAACAGCUUUACCUGUUUUUAUCCACUUGAAUUGAAUUUUGCUUUACACAGAAUUAUCUGAUUCUCCUCACUAUGUGUACCUAGAAAGGCUACACCCCCAAGCUCCAUUCUUACUGCCUGUUCUGUUAAACAGACAUGGUUUCAGCAAUCUCCAUUCCUUGCAGGAAAACGUGGAAUUUUGAUUUGGAUCUGGGUCUUUAGUUUUAGAUGAUUUUCCCCCUGAGAACUGUAGCUUUUAUCAUGACCAGUGUGAUGCUGUCCAGAAGGAAAAGGUGUCCUACCUGCGGAAAGCCAGGCUCUCAAACUCAAAUUGGGAAUUUAGAGAGUACAGAGGGAGUUGCUGUGUGUUAAAGCACUGGCAACAAUUCCAGAAUUGAUAACAAAUAAAUAAUAUAACUCUGCAAAGCCCACCAUGCAUUCUGGCAUCCUCCUGGCUGUGCUCUGCUGUA